UAGGGAAUCUUCGGCAAUGGACGAAAGUCUGACCGAGCAACGCCGCGUGAGUGAAGAAGGUUUUCGGAUCGUAAAACUCUGUUGUUAGAGAAGAACAAGGACGUUAGUAACUGAACGUCCCCUGACGGUAUCUAACCAGAAAGCCACGGCUAACUACGUGCCAGCAGCCGCGGUAAGACGUAGGUGGCAAGCGUUGUCCGGAUUUAUUGGGCGUAAAGCGAGCGCAGGCGGUUUCUUAAGUCUGAUGUGAAAGCCCCCGGCUCAACCGGGGAGGGUCAUUGGAAACUGGGAGACUUGAGUGCAGAAGAGGAAAGUGGAAUUCCAGGUGUAGCGGUGAAAUGCGUAGAUAUAUGGAGGAACCCCAGUGGCGAAGGCGGCUCUCUGGUCUGUAACUGACGCUGAGGCUCGAAAGCGUGGGGAGCAAACAGG
Molecule: ribosomal RNA, 429 nt
Filed under: Gemmatimonadota bacterium
Lineage: Bacteria; Pseudomonadati; Gemmatimonadota
Description: Gemmatimonadetes bacterium partial 16S ribosomal RNA
Rfam family: Bacterial small subunit ribosomal RNA
Source: RNAcentral